UCCUACGGGAGGCAGCAGUGAGGAAUAUUGGUCAAUGGGCGCAGGCCUGAACCAGCCAAGUCGCGUGAGGGAAGACUGCCCUAUGGGUUGUAAACCUCUUUUAUAAGGGAAGAAUAAUGACUACGUGUAGUCAGAUGCCCGUACCUUAUGAAUAAGCAUCGGCUAACUCCGUGCCAGCAGCCGCGGUAAUACGGAGGAUGCGAGCGUUAUCCGGAUUUAUUGGGUUUAAAGGGUGCGUAGGCGGAAUGCCAAGUCAGCGGUAAAAUCGCGGGGCUCAACCUCGCUCCGCCGUUGAAACUGGCGUU
This 305-nucleotide ribosomal RNA is filed under the name uncultured bacterium. RNAcentral's name for it is "bacterial SSU rRNA". It matches the Rfam family "Bacterial small subunit ribosomal RNA", at positions 337 to 640 of the family's 1533-position model. The record is from RNAcentral.